GAAUCUUCCGCAAUGGACGAAAGUCUGACGGAGCAACGCCGCGUGAGUGAUGAAGGUUUUCGGAUCGUAAAGCUCUGUUGCCAGGGAAGAACGUCCGUUAGAGUAACUGCUAACGGAGUGACGGUACCUGAGAAGAAAGCCCCGGCUAACUACGUGCCAGCAGCCGCGGUAAUACGUAGGGGGCGAGCGUUGUCCGGAAUUAUUGGGCGUAAAGCGCGCGCAGGCGGCUGUUUAAGUCUGGUGUUUAAUCCUGGGGCUCAACCCCGGGUCGCACUGGAAACUGGACAGCUUGAGUUCAGAAGAGGAGAGUGGAAUUCCACGUGUAGCGGUGAAAUGCGUAGAGAUGUGGAGGAACACCAGUGGCGAAGGCGACUCUCUGGGCUGUAACUGACGCUGAGGCGCGAAAGCGUGGGGAGCAAA
This 420-nucleotide ribosomal RNA is filed under the name uncultured bacterium. RNAcentral's name for it is "bacterial SSU rRNA". It matches the Rfam family "Bacterial small subunit ribosomal RNA", at positions 359 to 772 of the family's 1533-position model. The record is from RNAcentral.